Long non-coding RNA from Musa acuminata AAA Group (dessert banana), 907 nucleotides. RefSeq lists it as uncharacterized. The transcript is spliced from 2 exons. The record is from RefSeq and is a predicted model, not a curated record. NCBI's taxonomy places the organism in Eukaryota, Viridiplantae, Streptophyta, Magnoliopsida, Zingiberales, Musaceae.
GAGACUGUGGGCAGGAGGAGCGAUAGGUGGGUGGAGCAGCCAACUCAAACGGAGAAUAAGAUAUGGCAUCCAGCUGUGGACAGGCUGUUGUUGUUGUUGUCGUUUGGUCUCGCGACCGCGACGACUUGGAAGCCUAACCUCAUCGACGACAUCGCCUCCUCUCUUAACUAUUAUUAUUUGAUGCGGAAGUGUGAGUAGCUGCCACCCUGCGAGGCUUCGCUUCGUUUGUGGUGGUAACACUGCGGCGGAGAUUCCUCGUCGGGCAGCCAUUCCCUCUCCCUCCGCCGCUGGGAAGUAGUUCAGUCGAAGAUAAGGUUUGAUCGAGUUCUACACCAAAAUCCAGCUUAUUGGAGACUUAAGAAGGAUAUAAAACUGAGCAGAAGUCUGACAAAAAGACACAAGCAUGCAUGCUUGCUUGCGAGACUGAUGAAGUUGCAUAGAACAUACUGAUGAGGGUAAUAAUUAUGAUAAGACUUGCGUGAUACUCGCUGAUGCCCCGCGCCCCUGUUGGGUUGACACCGAGUGACUGACACGGGUCGUAACGUCAACCGAGGCUCAUUAACAACCGCUCAGGUUCGACUCCGCACGCUACACCAAUAGCGAUGUCAGACGUCAUCAGAAGGUACGAUCCUACCCCUACGGGCAGACACAUCAGAGAGGUUGGGUCAAGCAUCUCGACCCGACCUGUGCAGGGACGAAGGCGAGGCGCUUCUCUCCGGACACGUUGGCAAGGAACCUCCUCCCGAAGGAAUCGACGACCCGUCAUCCGGACCCGAAUCAAGUCGCGUCGACCCCGAGGUCACGACUAAAAAAUUGUUUACACUGACACAUACAUAAUUGACUGAGAAAAAGUUACGCCAACUUGUGCAUUACAUUUAUAGCAUAUGCAGCAGAGUAUGUUGUAGUC